This is a long non-coding RNA of Gossypium raimondii (Peruvian cotton), 647 nucleotides long. RefSeq lists it as uncharacterized. NCBI's taxonomy places the organism in Eukaryota, Viridiplantae, Streptophyta, Magnoliopsida, Malvales, Malvaceae. The record is from RefSeq and is a predicted model, not a curated record. The transcript is spliced from 4 exons.
GCAUAUAAUUCUUGAGUAUGUGGAGAAUGGUUCACUUGCAAACAUUAUCAAGCCAAAUAAAUUUGGGCCUUUUCCUGAAUCAUUGGUGGUUGUUUAUAUUGCCCAGGUUUUGGAAGGUUUGGUUUAUCUACAUGAACAGGGUGUUAUCCAUCAGGAUAUCAAUGGUGCAAAUAUUUUGACAACUAAAGAGACGCCAAAGCCAUCGUCUGGACCCCACAAGUUGAGGGAAUGUUUGCCACUUAUUCUCAUUCUGCGAAACAGACUGAAGUAUUCUUUGACAUACAGAGAAGUGAUUGGUAUUCUUCUGCAAAGGCAUGUCAAAAAUCUUAAUGGCUAUUUAUAUAUUUUUUUUAUUUUUAACAUCUCUAUUGUUUACCAAGUUUGUUGGUUUAUCUGAUCAUUUGGUUUUGCAUCCUUUAGAUAUUGAAGGUGUAGUGGAGGAUUCAAUCUCUUCAAGCUGGAAAAGCCAAGGCUUAGCACUUUUUCAAGUAGAGUGUUAUUUAAUGUUGUAUUCCAUGGUCGUUUAUCUUAGUCGGAACUUGAAUUAGGUGUUAUUGAAAUAGGGUUUUGUAGCUACCUUGUGUACUAGCUUCUUUAAUCAUGAUUGUUAAUUAUUACGUGUUUUGUAGCUUAUUUUAUAUUUGGCC